UAAAGAUAUCGUCGGCCGGGUGCCCUUUCAGGGAUAAUAGGGAAUCGGGUGCAAGUCCCGAACGGUCCCGCCACUGUAACCGUGAGCUUUGUUUGCAAUAAAACCACUCGACAACUAAAAGUUUGUCGGGGAAGGUUAGAACGAAGCAAUGACCGGAAGUCAGGAGACCUGCCCGGGCCGGAAGCCAGAA
Molecule: non-coding RNA, 190 nt
Filed under: Natranaerobius thermophilus
Lineage: Bacteria; Bacillati; Bacillota; Clostridia; Natranaerobiales; Natranaerobiaceae
Also listed under: 1 other name
Source: RNAcentral